AAAAGAAACCAACCGGGAUUGCCUCAGUAACGGCGAGUGAAGCGGCAACAGCUCAAAUUUGAAAUCUGGCUCCCCCUCGGGGUCCGCAUUGUAAUUUGGAGAGGAUGUCUCGCGGAAGGCGCCGCCCUAAGUCCCUUGGAACAGGGCGUCAGAGAGGGUGAGAAUCCCGUAUGGGGGCGGCCGCCGGACGCAUGUGAGACUCCUUCGACGAGUCGAGUUGUUUGGGAAUGCAGCUCUAAUUGGGAGGUAAAUUUCUUCUAAAGCUAAAUAUCGCCUGGAGACCGAUAGCGCACAAGUAGAGUGAUCGAAAGAUGAAAAGCACUUUGAAAAGAGAGUCAAACAGCACGUGAAAUCGUUGAAAGGGAAGCGGUUGCGAUCAGACUCGCCCGCGGUCGAUCAGCCGUCGUUCUCGACGGCGCACUCGGCCGCGUGGCGGGCCAGCAUCGGUUCGGGCGGCCGGAGAAAGGCGGCGGGAAUGUAGCUCCCCCCCCGGGGGAGUGUUAUAGCCCGUCGCGGAAUCGGCCUGCCGGGACCGAGGU
This 539-nucleotide ribosomal RNA is filed under the name Raffaelea castellanii. Its description in RNAcentral is "eukaryotic LSU rRNA". It matches the Rfam family "Eukaryotic large subunit ribosomal RNA", at positions 57 to 515 of the family's 3401-position model. Lineage: Eukaryota; Fungi; Ascomycota; Sordariomycetes; Ophiostomatales; Ophiostomataceae. The record is from RNAcentral.